RNAcentral lists this ribosomal RNA (253 nucleotides) under uncultured bacterium. Its description in RNAcentral is "partial 16S ribosomal RNA". It matches the Rfam family "Bacterial small subunit ribosomal RNA", at positions 524 to 776 of the family's 1533-position model. The record is from RNAcentral.
UACGAAAGGGGCUAGCGUUGUUCGGAAUUACUGGGAGUAAAGCGCACGUAGGCGGCCUUGUAAGUUGGGGGUGAAAUCCCCGGGCUCAACCCGGGAACUGCCUUCAAGACUGCAAAGCUAGAGGAUGCGAGAGGUUGGCGGAAUUCCGAGUGUAGAGGUGAAAUUCGUAGAUAUUCGGAAGAACACCAGUGGCGAAGGCGGCCAACUGGCGCAUUUCUGACGCUGAGGUGCGAAAGCGUGGGGAGCAAACAGG